RNAcentral lists this ribosomal RNA (297 nucleotides) under unidentified low G+C gram-positive bacterium. RNAcentral's name for it is "partial 16S rRNA". It matches the Rfam family "Bacterial small subunit ribosomal RNA", at positions 524 to 821 of the family's 1533-position model. Lineage: Bacteria; Bacillati; Bacillota. The record is from RNAcentral.
UACGUAGGGGGCUAGCGUUAUCCGGAAUAACUGGGCGUAAAGGGUGCGUAGGUGGUCUAUCAAGUCAGGAGUUAAAAGCUACGGCUUAACCGUAGUCAGCUUUUGAAACUGAUGGACUUGAGUGCAGGAGAGGAGAGUAGAAUUCCUAGUGUAGCGGUGAAAUGCGUAGAUAUUAGGAGGAAUACCAGUAGCGAAGGCGGCUCUCUGGACUGUAACUGACACUGAGGCACGAAAGCNUGGGGAGCAAACAGGAUUAGAUACCCUGGUAGUCCACGCCGUAAACGAUGAGUACUAGGU